Molecule: ribosomal RNA, 561 nt
Filed under: Corticiaceae sp. BESC103l
Lineage: Eukaryota; Fungi; Basidiomycota; Agaricomycetes; Corticiales; Corticiaceae
Also listed under: 2 other names
Description: eukaryotic LSU rRNA
Rfam family: Eukaryotic large subunit ribosomal RNA
Source: RNAcentral
ACCUCAAAUCGGGUAGGACUACCCGCUGAACUUAAGCAUAUCAAUAAGCGGAGGAAAAGAAACUAACAAGGAUUCCCCUAGUAACUGCGAGUGAAGAGGGAUAAGCUCAAAUUUAAAAUCUGGCGGUCUUUGGCCGUCCGAGUUGUAAUUUAGAGAAGUGUUACCCGCGCUGGACCGUGUACAAGUCUCCUCGAACGGAGCAUCAUAGAGGGUGAGAAUCCCGUACAUGACACGGACUGCCAGGGCUUUGUGGUGCGCUCUCGACGAGUCGAGUUGUUUGGGAAUGCAGCUCAAAAUGGGUGGUAAAUUCCAUCUAAAGCUAAAUACAGGCGAGAGACCGAUAGCGAACAAGUACCGUGAGGGAAAGAUGAAAAGAACUUUGGAAAGAGAGUUAAACAGUACGUGAAAUUGUUGAAAGGGAAACGCUUGAAGUCAGUCGCGUCCUUCAAAGAUCAACCUGGCCUUUUCGCUUGGUGCACUCUUUGGAGGACGGGUCAGCAUCAGUUUCGACCGGGAGAAAAAGUUGGUGGGGAGGUGGCACCUUCGGGUGUGUUAUAACCC